Molecule: non-coding RNA, 43 nt
Organism: Schistosoma mattheei
Lineage: Eukaryota; Metazoa; Platyhelminthes; Trematoda; Strigeidida; Schistosomatidae
Source: Rfam
AUAGCUGACGAGUCCCAAAUAGGAUGAAACUUGCGUCCUGGAU